AGAGUUUUUCAAUGGUAGUGGGUCCGAAUGGAAGUGGUAAAAGCAACUUUAUAGAUGCAAUGCUCUUUGUAUUUGGGAAACGAGCUAAGCAGGUCAGUCAUCAUCCAAUGAUUGUUGCAUGCCACUGUGAAGGUACAGGAUGAAAAUUUUGGGGAGACAGUAAUCUGAAAAGCAAUUUUUGGGGCCGUUCAGUCCAGCUUGAUCCUGUUGGUCUUCUAACUCUCGAGUUUGGUGAUGGUGAAGUUUUUCAGUAGAGCAAGGUCACAACUUUUGUGUUCUACCAAUCACCAAUCACCAAAACUUGGAUAGUGCAGGCAUUUCUGUUCCCUUUCAGGAGAUAAUUGAUAUGGAUGAUGGAACAUAUGAAGCUAUUGCAGGAAGUGACUUUGUCAUUACUAGAGUUGCAUUUCGAGACAACUCUUCAAAGUACUAAAUAAAUGACCGUGAAAGUAAUUUUACAGAGGUUACUAAGAAAUUGAAAGGAAAAGGAGUGGACUUGGACAACAAUCAGUUUUUUAU
This is a long non-coding RNA of Magnolia sinica, 519 nucleotides long. RefSeq lists it as uncharacterized. The transcript is spliced from 4 exons. NCBI's taxonomy places the organism in Eukaryota, Viridiplantae, Streptophyta, Magnoliopsida, Magnoliales, Magnoliaceae. The record is from RefSeq and is a predicted model, not a curated record.